This 254-nucleotide ribosomal RNA is filed under the name uncultured bacterium. Its description in RNAcentral is "partial 16S ribosomal RNA". It matches the Rfam family "Bacterial small subunit ribosomal RNA", at positions 524 to 776 of the family's 1533-position model. The record is from RNAcentral.
UACGUAGGGGGCGAGCGUUGUCCGGAUUCAUUGGGCGUAAAGAGCUCGUAGGCGGCUUGGCAAGUCGGGUGUGAAACCUCCAGGCUCAACCUGGAGACGCCACUCGAUACUGCCAUGGCUUGAGUCUGGUAGGGGAUCACGGAAUUCCUGGUGUAGCGGUGAAAUGCGCAGAUAUCAGGAGGAACACCGGUGGCGAAGGCAGUGAUCUGGGCCAGUACUGACGCUGAGGAGCGAAAGCGUGGGGAGCAAACAGG